AGGACGAACGCUGGCGGCGUGCUUAACACAUGCAAGUCGAGCGGUAAGGCCUUUCGGGGUACACGAGCGGCGAACGGGUGAGUAACACGUGGGUGACCUGCCCUCCACUCUGGGAUAAGCCUUGGAAACGGGGUCUAAUACCGGAUAUGACCUUCCUCCGCAUGGGGGUGGGUGGAAAGCGUUUAGUGGUGGGGGAUGGACCCGCGGCCUAUCAGCUUGUUGGUGGGGUAGUGGCCUACCAAGGCGACGACGGGUAGCCGGCCUGAGAGGGCGACCGGCCACACUGGGACUGAGACACGGCCCAGACUCCUACGGGAGGCAGCAGUGGGGAAUAUUGCACAAUGGGCGGAAGCCUGAUGCAGCGACGCCGCGUGAGGGAUGACGGCCUUCGGGUUGUAAACCUCUUUCACCUACGACGAAGCGAGAGUGACGGUAGUGGGAGAAGAAGUACCGGCCAACUACGUGCCAGCAGCCGC
RNAcentral lists this ribosomal RNA (476 nucleotides) under uncultured bacterium. Its description in RNAcentral is "SSU rRNA". It matches the Rfam family "Bacterial small subunit ribosomal RNA", at positions 26 to 518 of the family's 1533-position model. The record is from RNAcentral.